GUGGGGACGAUUUCGGUUUGAUAAAAAAUGGAUAGGAUAUGAUGGUUUGUUGGAAUCCAUUGGGAUAGAUUGGGUCAUUCAACAGAGGGGAACAAGGUUGAUCUUGAAUCAAAAAUUAUUAAUUAUCUCCAUUAAAUUGCUCUUUGGCGAAAGAAUAAUGAGUUGAUUACUCUUUAGGACACAUUUUGAGUUUCUCUUACACUCAUAGACACUUUCCACUUGUGACACACUUUUUUGUGGGGUUCAUUGGAUUUUUGGACAACUAUACCCUUAAGGAAAGGAAAAUAUUAGUUUUUUGAUUAUUUUUGUUAUUGUACUUCAUGAUUUAAUCUGCUUUUUUCUCAAAAUCUAAAAUAUAUUAAAUAAAAAUAAUUGUCAUAAUAAAUUAUAUAUAAAAUUUUCUAUCUUUUAAGAUCCAUUUUCAUAUAUGUAUGUUAACUUGUAAACAAAAUUAAUUGUGGACGUAGAUUCCAAAGCGUGGAUAGUAGAGUUAUACACUAGUUGUGGACAUGGACACCUUAACACAGAGGUCAUUUGCUUAUACCUUUAAGAGCUUGUU
RNAcentral lists this long non-coding RNA (559 nucleotides) under Brassica napus (rape). RNAcentral describes it as "long non-coding RNA (BNAP_LNC009841)". Lineage: Eukaryota; Viridiplantae; Streptophyta; Magnoliopsida; Brassicales; Brassicaceae. The record is from RNAcentral.